CGCCGGAGGUAUAAAAUGAUUUUUUUUAUUUUAGAAAUGUCGUCCAUUGUAUUGUACUUGGAUUUUUCUGGAGACCUUGCUUCAAUUCUUUAUUUACUUUUAAAAAUACAGUUUAUUAGUGCUAAUAUUGAUCAUAUGUUCAUUUGCUAUCCUCUAGCAGAACAUGAGAGGAAAAUCGGAAAACAUAUGUUUAGGAUCAACGUCUACAGUUCUCUGAAAUACUUCCGUUAAAAAAACAAACAUUCAUACUGUACUGAUGCGUUACUUUGAUUUAUGAAAU
RNAcentral lists this long non-coding RNA (280 nucleotides) under Mytilus galloprovincialis (Mediterranean mussel). Lineage: Eukaryota; Metazoa; Mollusca; Bivalvia; Mytilida; Mytilidae. The record is from RNAcentral.